RNAcentral lists this ribosomal RNA (459 nucleotides) under uncultured bacterium. RNAcentral describes it as "partial 16S ribosomal RNA". It matches the Rfam family "Bacterial small subunit ribosomal RNA", at positions 338 to 795 of the family's 1533-position model. The record is from RNAcentral.
CCUACGGGCGGCAGCAGUGAGGGAUAUUGGUCAAUGGGCGCGAGCCUGAACCAGCCAAGUAGCGUGAAGGAUGAAUGCCCUACGGGUUGUAAACUUCUUUUAUAAAGGAAUAAAGUGAGGCACGUGUGCCUUUUUGUAUGUACUUUAUGAAUACGGAUCGGCAAACCCCGUUCCAGCAGCCGCGGUAAUACGGGGGAUCCGUGGGUUAUCCGGAUUUAUUGGUUUAAAGGGAGCGUAGGUGGGUUGUUAAGUCAGUUGUGAAAGUUUGCGGCUCAACCGUAAAAUUGCAAGUGAUACUGGCAGUCUUGAGUACAGUUGAGGUAGGUGGAAUUCGUGGUGUAGCGGUGAAAUGCUUAGAUAUCACGAAGAACUCCGAUUGCGAAGGCAGCUUACUAAACUGCCACUGACAUUGAUGCUCGAAAGUGUGGGUAUCAAACAGGAUUAGAUACCCGGGUAGUC